Molecule: ribosomal RNA, 253 nt
Filed under: uncultured bacterium
Lineage: Bacteria
Description: partial 16S ribosomal RNA
Rfam family: Bacterial small subunit ribosomal RNA
Source: RNAcentral
UACAGAGGGUGCGAACGUUGUUCGGAAUUACUGGGCGUAAAGCGCGUGUAGGCGGCAACGCAAGUCGGGCGUGAAAUCCCACGGCUCAACCGUGGAAGUGCACUCGAAACUGCGUAGCUAGAGUCCUGGAGAGGAAGGUGGAAUGCUUGGUGUAGAGGUGAAAUUCGUAGAUAUCAAGCGGAACACCGGUGGCGAAGGCGGCCUUCUGGACAGUGACUGACGCUGAGACGCGAAAGCGUGGGGAGCAAACAGG